Molecule: unclassified non-coding RNA, 605 nt
Filed under: Bartonella rochalimae
Lineage: Bacteria; Pseudomonadati; Pseudomonadota; Alphaproteobacteria; Hyphomicrobiales; Bartonellaceae
Description: partial 16S-23S ribosomal RNA intergenic spacer
Rfam family: tRNA (bases 106-179)
Source: RNAcentral
AUCCCAAGCCUUCUGGCGAUCUGUUUAUGCAAGCCUCUGAGGGGGUGGAAGAUAGUGUUUCUUUGAUCAGAUUAUGCGAUUGAAAAUUUUCUGAUUUUCCUCGUAGGGCUUGUAGCUCAGUCGGUUAGAGCGCGCGCUUGAUAAGCGUGAGGUCGGAGGUUCAAGUCCUCCCAGGCCCACCAGUUACACUAUGCAGCAAAUUGCUUUGGUGACUGAAAGUUGCUCUGAGUGAGAAUGUUAAAAUCCAGUGAAAAUAUUACUACUUCCCUUAUUGAGUAAUCUCUUAGAGAAAAUUUAUACUUAAAUAAAUUCUUCUAAGAGCGUUCAAAACCUCCAUAAGAACUCAAAGCCUUCCAUAGAAACAAAGUCUUCGCGAGAAUUUUUCUCUCUCCUCUUUAGGAGGGGAAAAACAGGAAAAUAACAAGAGAAAUAAAAGGCUAAUAUUGUAUUCCUCAAUCAAUGUUAUAUCUCUCUUUGUAAAAAGCUUAAAGAAGCUUCUGUUUAAAAAAGUAUGGCGUUUUUAUUAAAAGCAAAAGACGUGAGGGCAUUUCAGACUUUUUAGGGGCCGUAGCUCAGCUGGGAGAGCACCUGCUUUGCAAGCAGGG